GGCAAGUCACAUGCAAGUACCUCCCUGUCUUACAGAUACAUUGUGAGGAUACAUUCAUUAAUGGUUGUGAAGUGAUCAGUUACUACAGGGAUGAAGUCAGUACAGAUGUGGCCUUCAGGAACACCGGCCAAGUGUCUCCACCAGAUAAGAAAGUGCCCCGGACGGAGCAAAGAAGACAUGGUCUGGGAGGUACUGCACUUCUUCAAUCCAGAGAGAAGGGAACGCAAGGAGUGGAGGGAAUCCGAAAGGCAGGACAGAAAAGAAAAUCAGGAGUUUGUUAAGGACACUACUGAGUGGAUGAUUAAAGUAACGGAGGAACAAAUGCAGAUGCUAAAGUCCUUAAUAAUGCUGUAGACUGAGCAGACGCAUGCCCGCCCUCCCCUGCAGCACAUUCAGAACUCUUUUCUAUGCCCCUCCCAACUCCACCCACACAGUCCUUUCCACCUGCCAGGACUUCUCAGUUUCAUCUUCACUCCACCCACUUGGUCAACUUUCACAAUGAUACCUGGACCUACACACAGCUCUGAAAGUCUGCCCUUGCCUGGUACCUCUUUCCCAUCAAGUAUCUUUGUGCGUGUUUGAGUUGUUUCUUGUGCAAUAAAAACAAAGUUUUUUAA
Chelonoidis abingdonii (Abingdon island giant tortoise) is the source of this 617-nucleotide non-coding RNA. Lineage: Eukaryota; Metazoa; Chordata; Testudines; Testudinidae. The record is from RefSeq and is a predicted model, not a curated record.